AGAGCGAACGCUGGCGGCAGGCUUAACACAUGCAAGUCGAACGAGAAAGUGGAGCAAUCCAUGAGUAAAGUGGCGACCGGGUGAGUAACACGUGACUAACCUACCUUCGAGUGGGGGAUAACCUCGGGAAACCGGGCUAAUACCGCAUAACAUCUUUGAAGUGGAAAUUUCGGAGAUCAAAGGAGCAAUUCGCUUGAAGAGGGGUCGCGGCUGAUUAGCUAGUUGCGGGUAACGCCCACAAGGCUUAGAUCGGUA
This 255-nucleotide ribosomal RNA is filed under the name uncultured bacterium. RNAcentral's name for it is "partial small subunit ribosomal RNA". It matches the Rfam family "Bacterial small subunit ribosomal RNA", at positions 26 to 285 of the family's 1533-position model. The record is from RNAcentral.